GGGGAUGUUUUAAAAUCGAUAGAAUCAGGAGUUAAAGAGCUCAGGCCGAGGCUUGAUGACUAGCCUCGCUAAUCUAUAAUCAUCAACUUGAUAAGUGCCAAAUCACUUGUCGCUAAAGUCCAGAACGCUUUUGCGUCUCUCGCUUUAGCUCCUGCCUUGGCUUAAAAAACCAAAGCCAUCAGCCCGGCAAUACCUAAUAACCGGUCACUGGUGUCAAUUAUUAGGCGUAGGCUAAUUAUCGUCUCAAUAGUUGGCCGAAACGCUUGAGACUUUAGUUGGUAGGGUUUUGUCAAUUUUUGACCGGCCAAUUGAAUUAAAAAUCGACUAAGCUUGUAAAACCUCCUUAGGUCCGCUUCUAGACAGGGGUGCAAUCCCCCUCAUCUCCACCA
This is a non-coding RNA of Candidatus Buchananbacteria bacterium, 389 nucleotides long. The record is from Rfam. Lineage: Bacteria; Candidatus Buchananiibacteriota.